This 73-nucleotide transfer RNA is filed under the name Marmota monax (woodchuck). RNAcentral describes it as "tRNA.Ala". It matches the Rfam family "tRNA". From Rfam's summary of the family: Transfer RNA (tRNA) molecules are approximately 80 nucleotides in length. The record is from RNAcentral. Lineage: Eukaryota; Metazoa; Chordata; Mammalia; Rodentia; Sciuridae.
UGGGGUGAUAGCUCAGUGGUAGAGCACUUGCCUAGCAUGCACAAGGCCCUGGGUUCUAUCCCCAGCACUGCAA